UAGGCGUGUUUAUAAAAGUAGGCUUGUGUAUUAGCAUCGUGAAGUGAAGCCCUCCAUUUCUAGAGGUCACUUUACGCCUUUGUGAGGCGCCUGAUGUACUAAGUCAUUGUUGUGGCUGUUGUUGACGUUUAAUCCGGUCAAUGCACCUUUCCACUGAUACCCUUUCUCUAAUUAAUUGAAUUAUACCUCAUCUAUAUUGCUCGUGCAUGCUCUAGUAGGUUCGCAGUCAGCGAGUUGCGUAUAGCGCAUGCAUGUCGGACCCUCCCAAGUACUCCUAUCAACCAUUGACGAGUCAGCCACCGAACCACGCGACGGAUGACCCUCCCAAAUAUUCUGAUGCACCCUCGACUACUCAUCCACCGAACAACAACGUUUACCCUCAACAUGUCUACCCAAUGUAUCCCGCACAGCAUCAAGUUGUGACCCACUACCAGGUGAAAGAUUACUUCGGACUGUCUGUCUUUACCUAGCUGUUCUGCUGCUUUCCAAUUGGAAUAUUUGCCCUUCUAAACUCGUUAAAGGUUCGCAAAGCUAUCACUGCUGGUGACGAAUUUAGUGCCACUGAAGCGUCUACUAAUGCUCGACGACUGAACAUCGUUGGAAUUGUAUGUGGCGUCUUAAUCUUCACCAUCUUAAUUAUUGUGUCUUGUGUGUACGUUGCGAAUAAGUCUUCUUGCUAUAAGGACACUAAUGGUCAGAAAAUAUGUUAAUCGCAAAGAUGGAUGUGAUCAAUCGGAUCUUGAACAAUUUGUUGUUAGAUAGA
Corticium candelabrum is the source of this 763-nucleotide long non-coding RNA. RefSeq lists it as uncharacterized. The transcript has 3 exons. The record is from RefSeq and is a predicted model, not a curated record. Lineage: Eukaryota; Metazoa; Porifera; Homoscleromorpha; Homosclerophorida; Plakinidae.